This 381-nucleotide ribosomal RNA is filed under the name uncultured eukaryote. RNAcentral describes it as "SSU rRNA". It matches the Rfam family "Eukaryotic small subunit ribosomal RNA", at positions 587 to 972 of the family's 1831-position model. The record is from RNAcentral.
AGCUCCAAUAGCGUAUAUUAAAGUUGUUGCGGUUAAAAAGCUCGUAGUUGGAUCUCGGUUUCGGGCGGGCGGUGUACCUUGCGGUAUUUACUGUCUGCCCGGACGAUUUUGUUGGUUCGUGUGUGGUUUUCUUAAUCGAAUGCCACAUGUGGCCAGCACGUUUACUUUGAAAAAAUUGGAGUGCUCAAAGCAGGCGCUACAGCCUGAACAUUAGUGCAUGGAAUAAUAGAAUAGGAUCUCGAUUCUAUUUUGUUGGCUUUCGGAGUCGAGGUAAUGAUUAAUAGGAACAGACGGGGGCAUUCGUACUGCGACGUUAGAGGUGAAAUUCUUGGAUCGUCGCAAGACGAACUACUGCGAAAGCAUUUGCCAAGAAUGUUUUCA